GUGUUGGGGCGGGGAAACAGACCGUGGGGGCCGGCCAAUAUUAACAUAUCGUGAGCGCUCCUACUGCGUGGUGUGCAUUUGCCGGUAGGACACUAGUUUUGUCAGUACAACCCGGUGACGAACUGAACGGUUGGUUGAUCUCCUCCAUCCAUGUUUGGACGCUAAGCAAGAAUGCUCUGGAUGCGCUCUACACUGGGCCUGCAUAGCACAGUUUAUGACGCACCGAUUAGUUUUAUCUAGACUACCAAGACAAGAGAGACCAUGGUGCUUUCUAUGGGUUUUUGGAACGUGGUAGAUGGCAGGUUUAGGAGAGACGCUGAAGGGGGGGAAGGCAGAGGCACCUGGGACCUGUAACGCUGGCAGUCCUGACCCAAAGGGUGCAGCAUUCUUUACAACACAGAAUGAAGAAUGAAGAGGAGGAUGAAAGGACAGAGUGGGAGGAAAGGCUAGAACCAGGAGGGAGACGGAGAGGUGGAGAGGUGGAGGGUGGAGGGCUGAGAGCAGGGCGGCACCUGGAGCUUGGCUUAGUCGUCCAGGACCGCAGGAGGCUCUCAUUCUCCCUGCCUCCAGCCCGACCGCGGCAUCGCCAGGGCCCGCUCGCAGAUUGGAGGCCAAGCGAGGAGCUCCCUCAGUGGGCUGCAGAGGUGCAGCUGGAUCCCCGCAGCUCCCCACCCAUGUGGAGCGGUGGAGCAGCAGAGAUCAAUACGGAGAGAGGGGCCUCCACCACACUGCUCAACUGUAGCCUCCAGCGCAGAAGACCCCAAGACCUCUAGAGCACGCUGCUGCUAAACACACACACACCAACUCACUAGACUGGAGAAGUGUGCACACACACACACACACACACACACACACACACACACACACACAGAAACUUGAGAACACAUACUCCCAAAUCGGUCUUUGUGUAGUGUUGAAGACUUCGCCAAAGGCAUUUUCUAUGAUCAGCUCUGUAACCAUCCACAUUUGCUUUUGGAAAAAGUUGUUCGGUUUUUGUAAAAUUUAUAAUGCAUCCUGAAAAUGUGUGUUGGCAAUUAAAAACUAACACACACAAACAACACUCCAGAAAUAAACUCCCCAAGUUCUCCCCGGGGGGCACCCAAGUGUUAGAGUUCACACUGAGAUUGAACCUAUUUGUGAGAGUUGCUCUACUGGACGACCAAACCUCAAACCAUCACGAAGAAUCCAGAAGUCCACCCAGAAAAUCACCUGCCCAGAGUAGUGUCCAAGAGCACCACUCAGUACUGACCAGACCGAGGACAGGAUGACCGACAGAAGCUUUUACAGUAUGAGGUUUGCUGGGAAAGUGUAGGUGGCACUGGAGAUGCAGAGAGGACUAUACCAGAGCAGAGAUGACAAAGCACCAAGUCUCUUACUUUACAGCAAACUAUCACAGAAAGAAUGCACUAAUUCCAUUAAACAACCAUCUCAGCACUGCAACAAAAACGGUGGAUACCAACUGCUUACAAGAAGAAGACCAGACAUGUACAAAAACAUGCCUUUGUGUACUGAACUCCUACCUGGCAAUCUGUGUAUUGGCCUCAAACAUCUCUGGAUACAUUAAAGAAUCUACUAUGUAUGAACAGUUUUUCCACUUUCCUCUAAAUCUAAUCACAAUUCCGAGGAAUGUCCUGUAUUGGAUAUGAAUUGGUUGGUUCGUUGAUGAGGUGAUGAUCAUCAGAAAAGAUGGGUAAGUAAAGGUAAGUAAGUGAUAUACUACAUCUCUCAUGAAAUAAUUAACCAUCAGGUAAUCAGUAAAGCAGAAAUUUGAAGUAUUUAUAUAUAGUUAAUUUUAGCCAAAUCAUAUUCCAGAAUCCACAUAUUAUUAGGCUCUUUGUUACUAGAAUGUGGGCACAAUAUAUUCAGAUAUUUGACCCCAAUAUUACAUUUUGUGGACCUAAGGAGCUGGCAUAAGAUAGAAAAACACCACCUCCUUAACAGCAUUUUAUUGCUGUCAUUUGUGUGGUCGUUUACUAUUUGCUUUGCAUGUUUUUGUGCUCCUUUUUAAAGUAAUUGUAACUGAUAUUAAAUGACGAAUACAUUAUUUUUCUUCAUUCACGCUAUAUUUAAAAAAAUUGACUGCUUUUUUGAAGUGAUAUAUCUGUGUUAUUUUAUCAAUAAAGUGACAUAAAAUGGAA
Molecule: long non-coding RNA, 2138 nt
Organism: Alosa alosa (allis shad)
Lineage: Eukaryota; Metazoa; Chordata; Actinopteri; Clupeiformes; Clupeidae
Exons: 4
Source: RefSeq, a predicted model, not a curated record